Molecule: long non-coding RNA, 1426 nt
Filed under: Gadus morhua (Atlantic cod)
Lineage: Eukaryota; Metazoa; Chordata; Actinopteri; Gadiformes; Gadidae
Description: lncRNA (ENSGMOG00000022219.1)
Source: RNAcentral
CAGAUGAAAUGGAUCAAGCUCUUCACAACCUGGCGGCAGUGAUUGUUUCCCCCUCCCGCACAGUUGGAGAGGGAACUGAAGGAACCCGUGAUGGCCAAUGUUCUAUCUAUCCACACUCAAUUUAUAUUACCUCCCGUCAGGUUUCAGAGGGGUCCUUUAUACCCGAAGCCGGCGCCGGGGCCAUAAUGGGAGCGUGGUCAUUUGUGUUUGUUUGCUAGGUUGUUUUCCGAGACGGAAAUUAAAGGGGACUUAUUAUACCACCAGGUGUGAGUGUGAUUAGCCUUACAAGCCGUUUCGAAAAUCUGCCUAAUAUGCAGUGGCAGUGCCAGAAAUAAUUUGUUGCAGUUGCUGUAUGAAUUCAAGAGGUUGCUGGUCAAAAAAAGAAACCUUGAUCAAAACACCUGAAUUUGGCAGAGGCACGGCCGGGAAGACAUUUUCGGCACGGGUUGGGGUGGUUGCGGUCCCGUACGAGAGUGUGUGCAUGCCCAACGCUCGGGAACUGGGCACGGUGAGGGGGAGGGGAGGAGAGGAGAGUCCCAGGCUGACUCGCGUUGAUUUGAACGACAGUCCAGUCACGGCCCUGAAAUGUUGACGCUACUCACUGAUUAUGCACUUAAUCUGGUGAUUCAUAUGACAGGAAUGGUCGGUAUGGUGACGGGUACCGCAUUCGGCCAUAGGUUUAGUUGAACUUAUUUAAUACCAUUUUACGGAAAAUGGCAUUAUUUCAAAUAUGUUGUUUGAGUUUGACAAAAAAUCAGGGGUUUCUGAGUAAUUGCUUGGAGUUGCUAUAGCAACGGCAAGCAACCGUUUGGCGCCGCCCCUGCUAAUAUGACAUCACUAGUGGGUGUGUCCACCUAGAUCUGUGCUGGAUAGAUCUAUCUACCAGCCUACCCAGUGGACUGAAGUAAACAUUGCUCAUCUAUCCAGCACAGAUCUAGGUGGACACACCCACUAGUGAUGUCAUAUUAGGCAGAUUUUCGAAACGGCUUGUAAGGCUAAUCACACUCACACCUGGUGGUAUAAUAAGUCCCCUUUAAUUCAGACGUCUUGGUCCACCCUCCUUUUUUGGGGUUUUCUUACUUUGUGAAGGAAAGGGCCCAGUUCUGCCUAAUUGUAUCGUACAUUAUUCCCUGUUUUUACUUAUUCGGUCGUUUGUGUGUGAAUUUGUAACUGUGUGGGAAUGGGUGAAUGUGAGGCAUUCGUUUAUUCAAAGGGCUGUUGAAUGGGAACUGUGCUUAGAAAAGCACUAGCCUAUAGUAAUAAAGUCCAUUCAUCAUCGAGGCAGCUUCUAAUAUUCAUUAAUUUAUAAACAGUAUUUGAUAUUAAAUAUACACCAGUUCUAACGGUGAUUCACUGGUUUUGUAACACAUAAAAUGUAAUGAAAGAUUACAUUUUAUGGAUGUCAGGCUUUUUAUUCUUUGGUAGC